ACCAGACUCCUACGGGAGGCAGCAGUGAGGAAUAUUGGUCAGUGGGCGAGAGCCUGAACCAGCCAAGUCGCGUGAGGGAAGACGGCCCUACGGGUUGUAUACCUCUUUUGCCGGGGAGCAAGCCUGAGCACGUGUGCCCAGGCGGAGAGUACCCGGAGAAAAAGCAUCGGCUAACUCCGUGCCAGCAGCCGCGGUAAUACGGAGGAUGCGAGCGUUAUCCGGAUUUAUUGGGUUUAAAGGGUGCGCAGGCGGGCUGUUAAGCCGGCGGUAAAAAUUCAGGGCUCAACCCUGUCGAGCCGUCGGAACUGGCAGCCUUGAGUGGGCGAGAAGUAUGCGGAAUGCGUGGUGUAGCGGUGAAAUGCAUAGAUAUCACGCAGAACUCCGAUUGCGAAGGCAGCAUACCGGCGCUCAACUGACGCUCAUGCACGAAAGUGUGGGUAUCGAACAGGAUUAGAUACCCUGGUA
This 465-nucleotide ribosomal RNA is filed under the name uncultured bacterium. RNAcentral's name for it is "bacterial SSU rRNA". It matches the Rfam family "Bacterial small subunit ribosomal RNA", at positions 330 to 792 of the family's 1533-position model. The record is from RNAcentral.